This 460-nucleotide ribosomal RNA is filed under the name uncultured bacterium. RNAcentral's name for it is "partial 16S ribosomal RNA". It matches the Rfam family "Bacterial small subunit ribosomal RNA", at positions 338 to 795 of the family's 1533-position model. The record is from RNAcentral.
CCUACGGGCGGCAGCAGUGAGGAAUAUUGGUCAAUGGACGCAAGUCUGAACCAGCCAUGCCGCGUGCAGGAAGACGGCUCUAUGAGUUGUAAACUGCUUUUGUACGAGGGUAAACGCAGAUACGCGUAUCUGUCUGAAAGUAUCGUACGAAUAAGGAUCGGCUAACUCCGUGCCAGCCGCCGCGGUAAUACGGAGGAUUCAAGCGUUAUCCGGAUUUAUUGGGUUUAAAGGGUUCGUAGGCGGUCGGAUAAGUUAGAGGUGAAAUCCCGAGGCUCAACUUCGGAAUUGCCUCUGAUACUUGUCGGCUAGAGAGUAGGUGCGGGAGGCGGAAUGUAUGGUGUAGCGGUGAAAUGCUUAGAGAUCAUACAGAACACCGAUUGCGAAGGCAGCUUACCAAGCUACUUCUGACGUUGAGGCACGAAAGCGUGGGGAGCAAACAGGAUUAGAUACCCGAGUAGUC